CACUGCUCCGUUUCCAUGGGUCCCCUAAUUACAGUAAGCUAUUCCUCAUUCCAAACAUCAAUAAUCAUCGUUCUGUUAUAAGUUACUGAGGAAUUUAUGGUGGUAUUUGUUAUAUAAUUGAGUUUCGGUUAUUAUAUGUGCGAUUAGAGUUGCUGUGCUUGCCGGGAGUUGUCAUUGAAGCUGUUGGGCCCGCCGUGGUUGCACCCAGGUUGCUGCUGCGUCGCCGGAGACCACAGCUAAAGCCUCUGUCUUCUUAGGUUUCUAUUGCCGUGAGUUACUUAGUUAUACGUCGUCGCCGAAACCAGGCCAGAUUUACUGUUCCAGCUACUGUAAUUGCAAUUUGUAAUAAUGUGAUUACUAUAAGAGGCGUCAGAAUUGUUGCUGUCCUCGUGGGGUUAACGUUAUCGCUACUGCCAUGAAUUAAAAGGAAAGGGAAUUAUCACGAUAAGUUACGCGGACUUAGCUAACUGAGCUUUACCUUUUCAGGAACCGAAUGAAGAAGCAUUAAGAAGAGUU
Arachis ipaensis is the source of this 516-nucleotide non-coding RNA. NCBI's taxonomy places the organism in Eukaryota, Viridiplantae, Streptophyta, Magnoliopsida, Fabales, Fabaceae. The record is from RefSeq and is a predicted model, not a curated record.